AGUGCCUAGCACAUGCAUGAUCGAACGUGUUGGUAGCAAUACCAAUAGUGGCGCACGGGUGCGUAACACGUAACUAACCUGCCCAGGACUGGGGGAUAGCUCGCCGAAAGGCGGAUUAAUACCGCAUAAUACUACUGAGUGGCAUCACUUGGUAGUUAAAUCUACGGAGGUCUUGGAUGGGGUUGCGGGUCAUUAGCUAGUUGGUCAGGUAACGGCUUACCAAGGCGACGAUGACUAGGGGAGCUGAGAGGCUGGUCCCCCACACGGGCACUGAGAUACGGGCCCGACUCCUACGGGAGGCAGCAGUAGGGAAUAUUGGGCAAUGGGCGAGAGCCUGACCCAGCCAUGCCGCGUGCAGGAAGAAGGCUUUCUGAGUCGUAAACUGCUUUUGACAGGGAAGAAUAAGCUGUACGUGUACAGUGAUGACGGUACCUGCAGAAUAAGCACCGGCUAACUCCGUGCCAGCAGCCGCGGUAAU
RNAcentral lists this ribosomal RNA (478 nucleotides) under uncultured bacterium. RNAcentral's name for it is "bacterial SSU rRNA". It matches the Rfam family "Bacterial small subunit ribosomal RNA", at positions 43 to 524 of the family's 1533-position model. The record is from RNAcentral.